UGGAACUGAGACACGGUCCAAACUCCUACGGGAGGCAGCAGUGGGGAAUAUUGCACAAUGGGCGAAAGCCUGAUGCAGCAACGCCGCGUGAGUGAUGAAGGCCUUCGGGUCGUAAAACUCUGUCCUCAAGGAAGAUAAUGCCGGUACUUGAGGAGGAAGCCCCGGCUAACUACGUGCCAGCAGCCGCGGUAAUACGUAGGGGGCUAGCGUUAUCCGGAUUUACUGGGCGUAAAGGGUGCGUAGGCGGUCUUUCAAGUCAGGAGUGAAA
This 268-nucleotide ribosomal RNA is filed under the name Clostridioides difficile. RNAcentral describes it as "partial 16S ribosomal RNA". It matches the Rfam family "Bacterial small subunit ribosomal RNA", at positions 314 to 599 of the family's 1533-position model. The record is from RNAcentral. Lineage: Bacteria; Bacillati; Bacillota; Clostridia; Peptostreptococcales; Peptostreptococcaceae.